AAUGAACGCUGGCGGCAGGCCUAACACAUGCAAGUCGAACGAGUGGCGGACGGGUGAGUAAUGUCUGGGAACCUGCCUGAUGGAGGGGGAUAACUACUGGAAACGGUAGCUACUACCGCAUACCAUCGGAUGUGCCCACAGUGGAUUAGCUAGUAGGUGGGGUAACGGCUCACCUAGGCGACGAUCCCUAGCUGGUCUGAGAGGAUGAACAGCCACACUGGAACUGAGACACGGUCCAGACUCCUACGGGAGGCAGCCGUGGGGAAUAUUGCACAAUGGGCGCAAGCCUGAUGCAGCCAUGCCGCUUGUAUGAAUAAGGCCUUCGGGUUGUAAAGUACUUUCAGCGGGGAGGCGUUACCCGCAGAAGAAGCACCGGCUAACUCCGUGCCAGCAGCCGCGGUAAUAC
Molecule: ribosomal RNA, 406 nt
Filed under: uncultured bacterium
Lineage: Bacteria
Description: partial 16S ribosomal RNA
Rfam family: Bacterial small subunit ribosomal RNA
Source: RNAcentral